Molecule: transfer RNA, 4204 nt
Filed under: Marmota monax (woodchuck)
Lineage: Eukaryota; Metazoa; Chordata; Mammalia; Rodentia; Sciuridae
Source: RNAcentral
UCAGCAACUUAGUAAGACCCUAUCACAAAAUAAAAAAAAUAAAGGGCUGAGGGUGUAGUUCAGUGGUAGAGCACCCUUGUGUUUGACUUCAGUAACACCCCAAAAUGAAAAAGAAACAGCAGAAAGGACACAAGUGGAGCUGGGGUGCAGCUCAGGGGUAGAGCACUGGCCUAGCAUGUGCAAAGGCCCUGGGUUCCAUCCCCAGCCCCACAAAAAGAAAGAAAGAAAAAUACAAAGAGCAUGAUAUUUAUGGUCCUUUCUCUGAUUCUGAAAGUGAGGCAUCUACCUUUCUGAAUUGUGUUUCUAAGGCUUCACAAAGCAUGAAAUUGAAAGAGAAAUCACUGUCUCUGUAUCCCCCUGGUGACCCCCCAGUCUGCCCUUCCCCACUCCAGGGGGUGCCUUGCAAAUGAGGCCUCCCUGGAGGGGCUCGGCCUCUCCGUGGCAGCUCACCCAGGCUGGCUGUGCACAUGGUGGGAAUAUCUGCCGAGGUGGCCCUCGUUCCUGGCCACAAACAGGUUCUAUUUCUUUUUCCAUGAAAACAACUCAGUCCUAAGUCACAGAUGCCUGGAAUUAGAAAAAUCCGAGGCCCACAUUAUCAUAAAACAAUUUUAACACAGCGGGGCCCUCUCUGGGGUGGGAGGGGUGGCGGAGCCCCCCACAGCAGCCCCUUCCCUGGAAAUGCUCAGAGGGACGAGAAAUUUGGUUUUCAUUAGUGGCCAAUGUGAGGAGUCCGAAGCUCUGAAUGGACCUUUGAUUCCAGCUGGCCGUGGCCUCCUUCCAGGGCCCAGCGAGUUCUGUUUUGUUUUCCCUGUAGAAUGGGCCAGAACCUUCUACUUAUACUCCCCGACUACAGAGGGACUGGGCAGCCCCCCAACCUCUUGGCUUCUAAAGUCAACACUGGGCCGGCAGGAGGGGCACUCAGACCCCCGCCUUUAUGGACUGAGGGUUUGUUAAAAACGUUGUGUUUCCUUGAGGCAUGGCCAGACCCAACAAGGCCAGCCUGGAGGGGCGGCCAGCCAGCAGGGCCUUCGCCACCAGGAGAUAGCCCACCUCGGCCUCUGCUCCCACCCCAGCUGUCCCCCGAAAUGAUCUCUUGUGUAGAAUCUUCACAGAAAGCCCCACCUCUCCCCUUCUGUCUGCUUUGAGGGAAAGAAAGAACACGGGGCCAUCUGUUAUUCAUUCAACACAGAGUGGGUUAGCACUGACCGCGGUGCUGGGGGUUUGGGGUACAGCUUUGAAGACGGCAGACCUUGUCAUUGGUCCCAGGGAGCUGUCACCCUCAUUGGGGAGGAAGGUCAUAAGCAGAUAACUAUUUUACACUGUCUCGGGUCGUAAUAAAAAGUGAACAGGAUAAUGUGAUGGAGGAAGACUGGAGGGGGAGGGGCCCCGCAGUCUGGGAGCCCAGCAGCACAGUCUCCGUGGGACCUGGCCUCAGGGAGGUGCCCAGGUGGUCUGCUCUUACAUGGCAGGGACACCAGCGCACCUUCACAGCUGGGUCCAGACCACAGACUCUGUCCUCCAUCAUAAUGCCACGCCCAGGGACCAGCGUGGGUUGGUCCCCAGGAAGCAGAUCCAGAGUUGGGGUAGUGGGAUGGGGAAGCUUUCAGGAGGAGUGGACCAAGGAAGCCGGGAAGGAGCCAGUCCUUGCCCCUUGGGCGGGAGUCGCCUUGUUGGUUCUCCGGGGUCUCUGCAGCACGAAUCUCACUCCUGAGUUGCCCCCGUCCUGUCCCCAGCCAGGGAGUCAGCCUCAUGUGGCCCCAGGUCAGCCAGCCAGUCGGGACUCCCCUGUCCCCUGCAGGGGUGUGGCCUGCCUGGUAUGACGCCUGAUGCUUGGCAGAGAGCAGUCUUCAGAGGAGGGGCAGCGGCACUUCCCCGGUGUCUACACGACCAACCUGGGUUGUGUCUGUGGAAUGUCAAGACCAUCGAGGACCCUGCCACGGCUGCUGUCGGCAGUUCCUCAGACCCCUCUGGGCCCGCUGCCUCCAGGGCCCUGCUGCUGUGAACCCAGAGAGCAGGACGUGGCAGGAACCAAAGACCCCUUGGUAAGAGGCACAUGCAGCCCAGAGUAGAGGAUCAACCCCGUGGAGGGCGAGGUCCCCACACCGGGAAGAUUUCCAGAAGCCAGUGAUCUGAGACCUGCUUCACGCCCCCCCAAGAUGAAAGAGGGUGGCUCAUCCUGCACCUCCGCUGUGCCAGCUCCUGUUCUAGUCACCGGAACCCUUGCAGGAGAUUGGGUGGGAAGCGGGUGUUUGCAGAUGUGAUUAAAGAGCUCGAACAAGGAGAUGCUCUUGGACUGUCCAGGCAGGUCCUGAAUCCUAUGACAAAUGUCCUUAUAAACAAACAUGGAAGCCGGGUGUGGUGGCACACGCCUGUAAUGCCAGGACUUGGGAGGCUGAGGCAGGAGGAUCGAAAGUUCAAGUCCAGCCUCAGCAACUUAGUAAGGCACUUGCCACUCAGCAAGGACCAGUCUCUAAGUAAAAUAUUAAAAGGGCUGGGGACGGGGCUCAGUGGUUAAGCACCCCUGAGUUCAAUUCCAGUACAAAAAAAAAGGAACACCGAAAGGAGGAGGGACCGUGUGACCAAGGGAUGCCAGCAGCCACCAGAGGCUGGGACUAUGAAGAAGAGGCCUUUCGGGGGGACCACGGCCCUCCAGCACCCUCAUUUCAGACAUCCAGCCUCCAAAAUGAGAGAAUGAACUUCUGGGGUCUCCACCAUCCUCUUGGUUCUCUUUAAAUUUCGAAGCAGCAUAUACCGUGAUUAGGAGGCCACCCGCUUGUCCACUGGGAAUCCAAAAGCUGUUUUAAGACAGAGCAAGUGACCCCUGCAGCCACCCUGCUCUUCCAGCCUUGGGGUCAGGAAGGUCCACAUGCUGGAUGAGGAGACUGGGCAAAGACUUUGACAAAGCCCCUCAGAGGAGGCCCAGGGCAGACCUGCUAGAAUUUUCUGCAGCGGAGAACUCACCUCCUUUUGAAACAAUUUCUAGGGCACUGCUAGGCCCUGCAGAGACCCGGCCUGAGCACCAGAGGCCAGCAACUCGGCUCCCAGGGCCUCCUUCCUGUCAGGGCUGGUCAUUGUCAAACCCAUCUUGAUGUCGCGUCGCAGCCUGAAGGGACCAGCAGCCAGCCCGUGUGCAGUGGGAAGGACUCGCUGGUGUUUGGAGUCCCCUGGGCAGAUCCAGAGGGCACAAGCAGGUGCCAUGCAGACCUGUGCCAGAGCCCCGUGACCCCUACUUCUGUUGCCUCUACACCUACCCCUCAGAUCAGUGCUGAUGGUUGUCCUGUAAGACAGUCCCACACGCGACAGUCCCAAAUGUUGAAAUCCCCAGAACUCGAAAUUCCUAAAGUUGAAAUCACAAUCCCAAGAGGUUUGAAAUCCUGAAUGUUGAAACCCCAAAAGCCAAAACGUUGAAAACCACAAUUCCCACUAAGUAAUAAUAAUAACAAUAAAUAAAAAUAAGGAGUCCACAUAAGAGGAGCAGAAAAUCAAAUUCUGGGGAAGGGCCGGUGCCUCUGGGCUGUUUGCAGGGCAGCGGGGCACUCACUGGCUGGGAGGAGUUUCCAGGGGAAAUCGGCUGGCAACUCGGCUCCUGGUGGUGAAAACCCACCGGGAAAGCGGCCUGUCUUAAACGCCAGGCCCACAGCCGUUCCUGACCUGCACGUCUCAUGCCUCACGUUUUCUGUUUCAGUUUUUGUUACUGUUGUUGUUGGGCAGAGAUUUUUUUUUUUAGUCUCUUCACCGCUAUCUUAAAUUGCCAGCGCUACUUAUCCCUAGGUUUUACCCUGGCAUAUGUUUCAUGUUAGCAUCAUUUCCAGUCCUGGAGGAAUAAAUCACGUAGACUUUCAGAGAGUUCUCGUUCUCUCGAGGCACCCAGGGGUGCAGUGCACACCUGCAAUCCCAGCGACUCAGGAGGCCGAGACCGGAGGACCGCCCGCUUGAGGCAGAAUAGACAGGGAGGCUGACAGGCCACACCAUCGUCAUUUGUCCAGAAAGACUCGGGAAGACUCGUAUGUUCCAAAAGCCAAUUGGGAAGACGAAACCACACCUUCACCACCGCCUGGCCCUUAGGAGCUGUGACCCCCACAGAGGAAGGGAACCCAGGUCCAGGCGGGGGACGGCAGAGCCAUUAGUCUGGGCUGGAAAACAAUGUGCCAAGGCUUCUGAGGCUGUUUUUGGAACCGAAUCUGGCUUCACGGAGAGAUGCCGG